This 468-nucleotide ribosomal RNA is filed under the name uncultured bacterium. RNAcentral describes it as "partial 16S ribosomal RNA". It matches the Rfam family "Bacterial small subunit ribosomal RNA", at positions 28 to 507 of the family's 1533-position model. The record is from RNAcentral.
GACGAACGCUGGCGGCGUGCUUAACACAUGCAAGUCGAACGGAAAGGCCCUGCUUUUGUGGGGUGCUCGAGUGGCGAACGGGUGAUUAACACGUGAGUAACCUGCCCUUGACUUUGGGUUAACUUCAGGAAACUGGGGAUAAUACCGGAUAGGUGCUCCUGAUGCAUGGUGGGGGUUGGAUAGCUUGGGGGGAUGGGGGUGGGCUGGCGGGGUAACAGCUUGUUGGUGGGGUAGUGGCUAACCAAGGCGUUGACGGGUAGCCCGCCUGAGAGGGUGAGCGGCGACACUGGGACCGAGGGAAGGCACAGACGGCUACGUGUGGCAGCAGGGGGGAAUCUUGCACCAUGGGCGGAGGGCUGAUGCAGCAGCGCCGCGUGCGGGAAGCCGGCCUUGUGGGUGUAAACCGCUUUCGGCUUUAUCGAAGCGUGAGUGACGGUAACGGGUAAAGAAGCACCGGCUAACUACGUG